RNAcentral lists this ribosomal RNA (467 nucleotides) under uncultured bacterium. RNAcentral's name for it is "partial 16S ribosomal RNA". It matches the Rfam family "Bacterial small subunit ribosomal RNA", at positions 29 to 507 of the family's 1533-position model. The record is from RNAcentral.
ACGAACGCUGGCGGCGUGCUUCACACCUGCAAGUCGAACGGAAAGGCCCUGCUUUUGUGGGGUGCUCGAGUGGCGAACGGGUGAGUAACACGUGAGUAACCUGCCCUUGACUUUGGGAUAACUUCAGGAAACUGGGGCUAAUACCGGAUAGGAGCUCCUGCUGCAUGGUGGGGGUUGGAAAGUUUCGGCGGUUGGGGAUGGACUCGCGGCUUAUCAGCUUGUUGGUGGGGUAGUGGCUUACCAAGGCUUUGACGGGUAGCCGGCCUGAGAGGGUGACCGGCCACAUUGGGACUGAGAUACGGCCCAGACUCCUACGGGAGGCAGCAGUGGGGAAUAUUGCACAAUGGGCGGAAGCCUGAUGCAGCAACGCCGCGUGCGGGAUGACGGCCUUCGGGUUGUAAACCGCUUUCGCCUGUGACGAAGCGUGAGUGACGGUAAUGGGUAAAGAAGCACCGACUAACUACGUG